AUGUUAGAAAAGCACAGAGAUCUUUUUUGGCACUGGUUCAGGGAUUCGGAGAUUUACAAUGGAUGGUGUAUAUGGAGAAAGAUAAUGUCUGUUGAGAAAUGAGCUGGUGAGAACUCCGGGUGUCACAGGACCCAGGCCAUCUGCACAAUCUCUCAGAGGAAGACAGUCUCUCAGACGCUCAGUUCUCUGGCACACACAGUUCCUGCUCAAGUUCCUGCCAGGAUUUGCCUCAACAUGGACUGUGACCUGGAAGAUGACAGCUGGCUAAGGACAGCUGUGUGAAGAAGAGGGCCCAGGAGAGCAGUGAGAAGUAUGCAGAACAAGAACUCCAGCACAGAUCAGAGGGAUGCUCUCAUGAGAACUCUGCCCAUCAGCAGGCUGGCAUAUGAGAGAAUAUUCAGAAGAGAAAGAGGAAGACGAGGGAAAUGAUUUGAAGAGCAGACGGUGUGAAGGGCAGACGGCAGCUUGAAGUAUCCCCAUUAGACAAUCCCACAUAGUGUGAGCUCAGUUCUGCUACUGAUGCUGUAACGGAGAGCUGAGUGCCACACACUAAAAAUGAGGAAAAUGACACCACAGACACAGGCCAAAUCAUCCAAGGCAUGCUCAUACUCAUUAUCACUAAGGUGUUGUAUUUCUUGAUUUGGAAGCUCCAAGAAAUAUGCAGACAUAUAGCCAUAUCAUCAAGACUACACUGGAGUGAAUUGCAGUGAUUUAAAAUGUGAGAUUCUGAUUUUAGAAUUCACUCAAUUUCCUUAUUUAAAUUCAGUGUCCCUGAAUUGCUUAUGAAGUGAACAACAUGAAGAAUGCCUGUUUAUAAAUGCCAUUUUAAGGAAAAUCAAUAACCAUUAUACGGUUUCUGCUAUCCUUGGCUCUCUGAGAUGAUAUGAAUCUAUUCAUAUAGCAGGUGUUGUGUGAAUCUAAACCUCUGGGGAGGGGAUUAAAUAAAAAAAAUUUCCGAAUCUGAACCAAAUAAGAGAAAAUGAUAUCACUUCUACAAUACAGAAGCCUUUUAUAACACUACUUCCCCAUCAUUUCUUCAGUUUGGCUGUAAGUUGGGUACUACCUAUAGACAAUGAUCUUAUAACAUCCACUGAAUGCAUUACAAGCAGUAAAGCCCAUGUUAUGUGCUACACACAGCACCAAAUUAGAAAGGUGUAAUUUCUGAUGUCUUGGAGGGUGGGCUACAGUGGGGCACAGAGACAAACAGGAGCACAAACAUGUAGACUCGCUGAAGCAAGCAGGAAAACAAGAGGCUUCGUGGGUCACAGUCUCUAGAAGAUCAGACUAAUAAAAGGAAUACAGUUAAAGGGGAUUUGAUGGGUUAUCUUGCUCGGUGUGGUCUGAAUAAGUCAACCAGGGCUAGCUUACACCAGGGAAGCCAGG
RNAcentral lists this long non-coding RNA (1383 nucleotides) under Cricetulus griseus (Chinese hamster). RNAcentral describes it as "lncRNA (ENSCGRG00015031353.1)". The record is from RNAcentral. Lineage: Eukaryota; Metazoa; Chordata; Mammalia; Rodentia; Cricetidae.